This 510-nucleotide long non-coding RNA is filed under the name Homo sapiens (human). Its description in RNAcentral is "HSALNT0096320". The record is from RNAcentral. Lineage: Eukaryota; Metazoa; Chordata; Mammalia; Primates; Hominidae.
GAUUUUUUAGGAGCUUUUAUUGUUUUAGUAAUCUUAACAUAACUUAAAAUAAGAGAGGGGAAAUGACAUCUGGAGAUCUAGGUAUGUGGCCCAUUGCAAUUGAGCACAUUUCUUGGGUCUGUUUCUCUAUCUCUAAGGGGAGUCUCAAAACCCCAGCUCAAAAUACGACACUAACAUGAUGAACAUGCAUGAGCUUUGAAAAGCAGAGCCCAGCAGAUCCGUGUCCACCCAUGUGCCAAUAAGACAAUGGGCAAAGCUACAAAUGGCAAGAGAAAAAUGGGACUAUUAAUGCGUGUGGAAAAGGCCUUAAUAGUUAAGUUACAGCUAAGAAUGUCAUGUCUUGGGUUAGAAUUUUCAUUUUUAGCACCGUUAAUGUAUUCACUUAAAUCUAUGUUAGCACCUUGUCUCCAGGCAGAACAACAAACCAUCCAAACAUUUUAAACAUUGGGGGAAACACGAAGGGGAGGGUUAAAGAGAGAAUCCGGUACUGUGGAAGGAGUGGAUUUAGAU